AGAGCGAACGCUGGCGGCAGGCUUAACACAUGCAAGUCGAACGGAUCCUUCGGGAUUAGUGGCGGACGGGUGAGUAACACGUGGGAACGUGCCUUUGGUUCGGAACAACUCAGGGAAACUUGAGCUAAUACCGGAUGUGCCCUUCGGGGGAAAGAUUUAUUGCCGAAGGAACGGCCCGCGUCCGAUUAGCUAGUUGGUGAGGUAAUGGCUCACCAAGGCUACGAUCGGUAGCUGGUCUGAGAGGAUGACCAGCAUCACUGGGACUGAGACACGGCCCAGACUCCUACGGGAGGCAGCAGUGGGGAAUAUUGGACAAUGGGCGCAAGCCUGAUCCAGCCAUGCCGCGUGGAUGAUGAAGGCCUUAGGGUUGUAAAGUCCUUUUAACGGGAAGAUAAUGACGGUACCCGUAGAAUAAGCCCGGCUAACUUCGUGCCAGCAGCCGC
RNAcentral lists this ribosomal RNA (443 nucleotides) under uncultured bacterium. RNAcentral describes it as "SSU rRNA". It matches the Rfam family "Bacterial small subunit ribosomal RNA", at positions 26 to 518 of the family's 1533-position model. The record is from RNAcentral.